Molecule: transfer RNA, 72 nt
Filed under: Camelus bactrianus (Bactrian camel)
Lineage: Eukaryota; Metazoa; Chordata; Mammalia; Artiodactyla; Camelidae
Also listed under: 2 other names
Rfam family: tRNA
About the family: Transfer RNA (tRNA) molecules are approximately 80 nucleotides in length. Their secondary structure includes four short double-helical elements and three loops (D, anti-codon, and T loops). Further hydrogen bonds mediate the characteristic L-shaped molecular structure. tRNAs have two regions of fundamental functional importance: the anti-codon, which is responsible for specific mRNA codon recognition, and the 3' end, to which the tRNAs corresponding amino acid is attached (by aminoacyl-tRNA synthetases). tRNAs cope with the degeneracy of the genetic code in two manners: having more than one tRNA (with a specific anti-codon) for a particular amino acid; and 'wobble' base-pairing, i.e. permitting non-standard base-pairing at the 3rd anti-codon position.
Source: Rfam by way of RNAcentral
UGUGGUAUAGCUCAGUUGUAGAGCGCCUGCCUAGUAUGCAAGGGGUCCUGGGUUCAAUCCUUAGUACUGCCA